This 375-nucleotide ribosomal RNA is filed under the name uncultured archaeon. Its description in RNAcentral is "bacterial SSU rRNA". It matches the Rfam family "Archaeal small subunit ribosomal RNA", at positions 1071 to 1448 of the family's 1478-position model. The record is from RNAcentral.
CGGGUUCUCCGGAAUGACCGAGCACACUGUAGAGACUGCCUNGGAAACAAGGAGGAAGGUGUAGGCAACGAUAGGUGGUAUGCCCCGAAUUUCCUGGGCUACACGCGCGCAACAAUGGUAGGGACAAUGGGCUACAACUCCGAAAGGAGAAGUUAAUCCUCUAAACCCUAUCCUAGUUCAGAUUGAGGACUGCAACCCGUCCUCAUGACGCCGGAAUUCGUAGUAAUCGCUUGUCAUCAGCAAGCGGUGAAUAAGUCCCUGUGCCUUGCACACACCGCCCGUCACACCAUUCGAGUAGGGUUUAGGUGAGGGCUGGGCUUUUGCCUAUUUCGAACCUAAGUUCUGUGAGAGGGGUUAAGUCGUAACAAGGUAACC